UACGGAGGAUGCAAGCGUUAUCCGGAAUGAUUGGGCGUAAAGCGUCCGCAGGUGGCUGUGUAAGUCUGCUGUUAAAGAGUGAGGCUCAACCUCAUAAAAGCAGUGGAAACUACACGGCUAGAGUGCGUUCGGGGCAGAGGGAAUUCCUGGUGUAGCGGUGAAAUGCGUAGAUAUCAGGAAGAACACCGGUGGCGAAAGCGCUCUGCUAGGCCGCAACUGACACUGAGACACGAAGGCCAGGGGAGCAAACGGG
This 253-nucleotide ribosomal RNA is filed under the name uncultured bacterium. RNAcentral describes it as "partial 16S ribosomal RNA". It matches the Rfam family "Bacterial small subunit ribosomal RNA", at positions 524 to 776 of the family's 1533-position model. The record is from RNAcentral.